This 1698-nucleotide long non-coding RNA is filed under the name Sus scrofa (pig). Its description in RNAcentral is "lncRNA (ENSSSCG00055002022.1)". The record is from RNAcentral. Lineage: Eukaryota; Metazoa; Chordata; Mammalia; Artiodactyla; Suidae.
UCAUCUAUACCCUUCCCUUCUAGUUCUCACCCUGUGUUACAUGGAUACCUGCCAGUCUGGAGCUCCAAUGCCAACCAUUUCGACCAUUUCUCUGGACCUCAGGUGCGUGUUCCCACCUGCUCCCUGGACAAUCCCAUUUAAAAUAUCUCCUGAUUAAUUCAGACCCAUCUUUUCCAGAGAGAAUACUUCCUCUCCUUCUUCCAAAACUCUUCUUUCCCUUCUUUAUUUCCUAUCAUGGCUAAUAACAAAAGCAUUCACUAAAACUAGAUGUUGCCCUUUUUAUUAACCAUUUUUUUUUUCUUUCUCAUCUCCAACAUGAAAUUGGUCACUGCAUUUGGAAAUCUACCUAAGAGUCUCGUCAACUACUUCUUCCUUUAAAAUCCCUUCAUCCUUGACUUAAUCCAUCUCUCACAAUUUCAUCUGAGGAUGGCUACAAUUUGUUUCUACAACAAACUUGUUUUUUCCCAAUACAGAGAUAUGAAUACACUGCUCUUAUUUUCUUUGAUGGUUUCCCAAAGUUACAGAACAAGAUUCAACUUCUUGACUUGGCUCUAUGCAUCUUCAAACUUAACCUUUCACCCCUUUCCCAGUUACAUUUCCAUAUACCCUCCUCCUGUCUUUCCUUCCCAACAAUCCUGAAUUACCUCAGAUAUGCUACCACAACCCUAUGCCUUUGCUUAUGGUGUUACUUCUGCCCAGCACUGACUGCAUUUCUCUGGUAUAUUGAUAUCAAUGAUUAAGAUCCAAACAACAUGAAACAUUUUUGUUUCAUUCUCAAAUGGAGACCACAUAAUCAUUUCAGUCUCAAAGCCUCCACAGUACUUUGUUCCAACAUCAUCUUCUGCUGUUGUGAUUGUGACCAAAUUUCUGGCCAGAUUAUGAAUUUGAGAGUCAGAGUGAUUUUUAUUCAUUUUUAAGAUAAUCUUAGUACUCCAACAGACUGUAAGAGCUGAAAAAAAAACCACGAUCAUUAAAUGAAUGAGUUCUGCCUUCGAACACAAUAUGACAUUCUUAACAAUGAUUCUUCAAAGUUUGAAGAAUCGGGAUCAUUCAAAUCCGGCUAAAGAGUUUGCUUCUGCCUUACCCUUAGAGGUAGAUGAGACCCCUUCAAGACUAAUUCCUUUCUGAUGUUCUCCCUGAUUUCCACGAUUUCCACUCGUCCUUGACUGCGUGGCCCACUGCUUAUUUUCAGGGCUCCUUUGAUGAGUACUGAAGCAUAGGUGUUUACCGGAGGGAGAAUGGCUUAUUUUGGAGUAAGGGCACAUUUACAUCAUCACAAAAUACUAGGAAAUAGAAGGGUAAAAAUAAGAGUGAACAGAUUUUGACUCAUAGCUAAAAGAGUAGUUUGAUGCUAUAUACAGUAUAUGAUUGUGUACAACGAUUAAAUUCCUUUUAUUUAGUGCAGCCUGAUCAUCUGUACCUUUAAGGAAAGGUGAUUCUGGAGAUCUAGAGCCAAUCCUCUGCCCCCUUAAAAUAAGUAUUAUCUUUAUUUUUUAUUUUUUUUUUGUCUUUUUGCCAUUUCUUGGGCCUCUCCCGCGGCAUAUGGAGGUUCCCAGGCUAGGGGUCCAAUCGGAGCUGUAGCCACCGGCCUACACCAGAGCCACAGCAACACAGGAUCCGAGCCGAGUCUGCGAACUACACAACAGCUCACAGCAAUGUCAGAUCGUUAACCCACUGAGCAAGGCCAGGUAUCAAACC